This is a long non-coding RNA of Felis catus (domestic cat), 1872 nucleotides long. RefSeq lists it as uncharacterized. The transcript is spliced from 3 exons. NCBI's taxonomy places the organism in Eukaryota, Metazoa, Chordata, Mammalia, Carnivora, Felidae. The record is from RefSeq and is a predicted model, not a curated record.
UGGAUCAGCGUGGGCGCGCCUGCGCUUGUAGAUUUCUCCCUCGCGCAAGUGCGCUGCACCCAGCGAUGCAUUUUCUCUACGCGGUUUUCCUUCAGAGCCGCGUCUAGUCUUUGGGCUCGAAUGCUACCAAACGGUAUUGUCUCGACGAGAAAGCUGGCUCAUGGAAGGAAUUCAUUUCUAGACGCUCUGGCAUCAGAAUCAGCCGGGCAAGAUCAGACCCGAAUACCUGCGCUGUCUCUCUACCUACGCGGGAACGUCGGUGACUGAAAACUUGCCACCGCUCCAGAAGGAAGACUCCUGUUGGCGAUUCCCUCUCACUCCGGCUCUGACCGACCCUGGUGCCUCCUCUUGUGGCCCCUGUGUGACGUGACGUCCCCCCUCCUCUUGGGAAUGGUCUGCCCUGCGUGUCAUCCUGUCCGGAAGCUCCAACCGGAACGGCAUGGGAAGCGCUCCGUUGAAGCCCAGCCCAGGCGAGUCUCAGCCCCUGGCCUCUCGAUCCCUGUGUGAGGGAACAAGGACGAGCCAGGGACCCUUUUGGGGCCUCAGUGUCCUCACCUGCACACUGGAGGGAAUAGCACGUACCCCAUAGGGUGGGAUUACAUGACAGCCCGACAGCAUGUCUGAGACAUAGUGGGACAUCCAUGAACAUUGGUUCCCAUCCCAUCCUCACGCCGCUUGCAAUCAGUGUGCCCUUUGAGGACACGGUCAAUCGGUUUUUAAAAGCUAGGACGUACCUAGGUAAGUGCACCUUGAGGGCAUUAGUUCUAGUCUAAAGACAAUGAACGAGGGUGAUCUUCUUCCCUCUGCGUGAUGCCUCUCCAAAGUCUUCUGCCCCUAGGGCACAUCAGGAGGACGUAUUGGCAGCCUGGCAUAGCAGAAAGUUGACAAAAUGGAGAAAGGACUAUUGGGGAUAACAGAGUGCGCACGCUGCCUGUCAGGUUGGCUCCCGGGGGGCCAUGAGGUCAAUGGACGAUAGCUGAGUGUCCAGUCCCUGGGAGUAAAGAGCAUGGGGAGGGUAAGACCAUGGCUCCAGGAAUUUCUGUAGAUGACCCCCACUCCAUCCAGCCAAGCGGGCCUACCACCAGAUGCAACAGCCACAGCUUCUGGAAGCUAUUGGCACCCCUUUGAGAGGAAGUAAACCGAGGACGAAGCACCCGGUUUGGGUGGGAUGUCAGAACAUUUCCUGUCCUCGGAAGGAAAUCUGGAGGUACUCAGUACAGAGUGGAGCGUGUAGGGAAGUCAGAGGUGAUGGGGCCAGUGGGUGUCAGCACGAGCUGAAGCCAGCAAGAGAGAGACGUGGCAUCUGUGGCCAGUGCAUGAACUGCCCAGACCAGCUGCCGUGGGCGAUGGCUCAAGGGCUUUUUUUUAUCAACUUGCUUUUAAUAAAUUCAUUAAAUGUACAUUUUAUAUGGGAAACUACACGAAACAAAUCUGCAGUAAAACCUUGGAUGGCGAGUAACUUGCCCUACGAAUGUUCCGCAAGACGAGCAAACAUUUCUAAUGCAUUUUAACUUGAUAAACGAGUGAUGUCUGGCAAUACAAGCAAGAUGUGAUGCCGAAUGUCACAUGAUCACAACCGAGCCAAUGGGUCUUGAAAUUCGCUUUGAUGCACGAGUGCUUUGGACCGCAAGCCUGUGUCUGGAACGAAUUAUGCUCACAGACCAAGGUUUUACUGUAUGUAACAGUGAUGCGUCAAAAUGCAAAACCCUCAAAAACAUGCUCAAAAACUUCUCUUGGGUCCUUGUGUAACUACUCCCCCCUCGUUUCUCCGGGAAAGUAACCCAUAUCUUAACUAGGAUGUCGAGUAUCCUAAAAACCUUCUUGUUUUUCUUUAUAGUCUUACUACGUAAGCAGGCAUCCUCAAAUAUAAUG